AUUGAACGCUGGCGGCAGGCCUAACACAUGCAAGUCGAGCGAGCGGCGGACGGGUGAGUAAUGUCUGGGAAACUGCCGGAUGGAGGGGGAUAACUACUGGAAACGGUAGCUAAUACCGCAUACCAUCAGAUGUGCCCAGAUGGGAUUAGCUAGUAGGUGGGGUAACGGCUCACCUAGGCGACGAUCCCUAGCUGGUCUGAGAGGAUGACCAGCCACACUGGAACUGAGACACGGUCCAGACUCCUACGGGAGGCAGCAGUGGGGAAUAUGGGACAAUUGGCGAAAGCCUGAUGCAGCCAUGCCGCGGGUGUGAAGAAGGCCUUCGGGUUGUAAAGCACUUUCAGCGGGGAGGCGGUACCCGCAGAAGAAGCACCGGCUAACUCCGUGCCAGCAGCCGCGGUAAUAC
Molecule: ribosomal RNA, 406 nt
Filed under: uncultured bacterium
Lineage: Bacteria
Description: partial 16S ribosomal RNA
Rfam family: Bacterial small subunit ribosomal RNA
Source: RNAcentral